GGCCUACCAGAUGCAACCAUCAGUUGUUUUCCUGGAUGAGAUUGAUGCUCUUGCUCCUGUAUGCAACAGCAAAAAAGACCAGGUUCAUAGCUCUGUUGCAGGAACACCUCUGGCGCUAAUGGAUGGCUUCACUGACGGAAAGGUUGUGGUAAUCAGAGCCAUCAGCAGACUGGAAUCUGUAGAUCCUGCUUUACAAAGACCUGGACACUUCGUGUGAGAAUUCCACUUCAACUUGCCAAACAACGAGAGACUUGGACUAAGAUGUAAAGCACACUGCACAGAUGCAAGGCUUGGGACCCUUCUAGCUUAUUGGCAACAGCUAAGCAAAAAAAUGGACAAGAAAAGGGAUUUUCAAAAGUCACACAGGAGACUGGACCCUGAAGCCAUUGGACAACUUUCUUGAAGAGCUGGCUGUGCUAUAAAGGACUGUGUUAGUGAAAUAUCUACAGUUAACAAAAACUUUCAAGGAGGAAAAAAAUCCAAACACCAAACGAUCCCACGGUGCAUAAAAUUCCAGGCAGGACUUUCAAAUGCACUUCAGGAUCCACAGGAAGCAAGAAAUUAUCUUCUCUAGGAGUUGGAACAUGGCACAUGACAACAAGCCAACCUGUUUUCUGUGCUACACUGAGCCUGCUCUGAAGGCUUUCCAGGGGGAGGUUAGGAGCUAUUCCCAAAGUCACUGUUGGCUUUCCAUCCUUCUGAGCUGCCCAAGAGAUGUAAAACAUGGAGCAGGAAGGCCUCAUAGGAGUGUCUGUGCUUGUAUGACAGCAGGUGGUUGGCCAGGAACAUGCUAUGCGUCAAUCACUGCAGGACAUAAUUGAUGAAAAAAGUGUUGCCCAGGUUUUGGAGGCCACCUUCAACAUCCCCCUUGCCCUGCCAAGCCACGGACCUCUUCUGUAGAAGAUCCCAUUCUGGCAGAGCCAUUUCAAGAUGGAGAAGGACACUCACGGAGGAGCACCACCAUUGCAAUGGUUGCAAUGCCUUGGUUUUGGGUCCGUUCUUUGCAUGCUCAAACUCUCUGCAGAAAUCAGAAGCAAUUUAAUUUUCCCACACUCCUCAGUGCAGCCUCUUGCUGCCUACCCUAUUCCUGCAGCGACUUCCUGCUGAGCCCCAUCUUUGUGUCUUCCAGGAGCUCACCCGCAAAUUUUCUUCAUCUUCUGGAUUUCUCAUUCCCACAACAUCUUCCAUAAAGAUCUGCACUCAACCCAGCUUUCCCACACCAGCACUCUGUGUCUCUUGGGACUCAGCGCCUGCUCCAGGGUGCAAGCCUGGAGUAACAAGGGUGGUCUGAGGCAGGGGUGUCCCUGCAGUCUCCUUAUGGCUCCAGUCCCAUCCUGUCACGUUCAGGUAGCACAUGAGAGGACACAGCACUAGAAACUGGAAAUUAGAUCAAGGUGCUCCAGCCCCAGCUGUUCCUGGACAGGGACAAUUCUUGUCCUCCCUGUCCACAAGAAGAGGCAGUGCAUGGCAUUAAAAAGCCACUAUGGAAUGGUCCUGGAGUGACUGGGAGAGACUGAAGGCAACAGCAGAGACACAAGCUGACACAGGAGCUUCUCCCAGGAUGUUGAUUCCAACGCAGGGCCCCAGCAUCAGGGUGACCUCAACCAUAGGGACCCCAACAGCCCAUGCUUGGAACCCCAUGCUACAUCCCAACCUACUGACACCCCUCACACAUACACACCCCUUUGGGGACCAGACCCUGGCAAGCUCAUCCCAGCACCCUGUGCCUGCUGAGCCAGCAUUCCUGAGACCUCCCACCCAACCAGCACUGUUCCACCACUGUGCCCCUGCCUUAAAUCAGUAAAUGCUAGACUGAUGCCAGAGGGUUCCGUGUUUCCUGGGUGCCCCCAUGCACUAGUAAGUGUCCCCUGGUGCCAAGUCCAGUCAGAACACACCCAUGUCGUGAUGGGUUUGUGUGUCCUAUGGAUCUGCAUGUCCAAAACUAGCACACAUCUCCAGAGAUGGAAGGACUGAUGAAUGAGAAAUUAAGUAAUUUUUUUAUCACCUGUCAUUCUAUAAAGUUACAAGAUUUCACCUGGUGAUCAUCUUUCUCUUUGCUCUUUUGGGUUUUUUUUCCCAGUGUUUGUGGUUUUGGCUCUUCUCCAGUUCUCUUCCAUUUCCAAUGCUUCCUGUGCUGCUUCCUGUACUACUGCUGCUCCUUUUUCUCUUUUUCUUGCUGCCUUGACUCUCCAGAGCUGGCACUGCUACUCUGCUUUCUAGCUUGACUCUCCAAAGGCUGAGGCUACAUUUUUCUGCACUCAAAAAUUAAAUUACUGUAAUUCAGUCAUCCUCUCCCCAGGUUUUUCCUCCCAAAUUUGGCUUGGGUCUCUUUUUUUAACUCUGCAUAUGCUUACAUUAAAACUUCUUUCAGCUGCUGACAUAAUGCCUGACAGCCUGUGAAAGGUUCUGCUUGAAGGCAGGACAGCUGCUGCUUUGUGAGUGUAGAACACACCAGAAGGAUCAGUCUGCUUCCACUCCCUUCUAGCCCAUGAUCUACCAGACCUAUUGGUGGAUUUCAACUGGUAUAUACUGGCCUCUACUGGUACCUGACACCCACUUUUAAUGUUUGUUGUCCAAAUCUGUGUGCUCACUGACUGCACUGUGUUACUGAGCAUGACUCUGACUGAUCAGAAUACUGACAAUAGAAAUGUUAUAGAAGUUUAAGAGGAACACUUUAACUCCAGCAGUUGUGUGUCUUUUAUAUUCCCAAUAUGCAAAUUUACUCACUGAAAAGGUCCCUUUGUUUUUUCAGCAGAGAGAGAUGUUCUUCGGAUUGGAGGAACGCUGUUCCAAUAGCUGUCAAUAAUUAGAAUCAUUGUUGAUGAAAGUUUUUAGCCAAACUAAGGAAGUUUUGGGGGUUACAAUCCACUAUAACCCCCCACCUAUAAUUAAUGGAUGAAUAUGAUCAGGAAUUGAGAGCAUAAAGCUAUCAACAGUGCCAGAAAUUUCUGGUACACAGCAAUACUGUCUGGUUUGGGGAUUUCACUGGUGUAACCUUUGAAGAUGUUGAACUGGCUGGGUCUAAUGUUUCAACCAGUCACUUUUCCACUCUCCAGAACAGUGAAGAGUAACCAAUCUCCAGGUUAAUGAAUAAACCACAUUUCAAAGCACUCAAAAUUAAACUAAACACUGAGAUUUUUGAAGACUAAAUCUCUCCAUAGCUACACCACCAGAAGGAGGAGGUGACAAUUUUCCUUCUGUAGAUGGUUAAUAGAUGAACUAAGAAAAUAGGUCAGACUAAAACAAAUAAUUUUUGACAGCUAGAAAUGAAUUUUCCUUUCCUGUUGUUUGCCUGAACCUGCAGGUUCAAUUGCAGGACAAUGUUGUGUGCUCACAACACCUCACCAGGUUGAGGAUCCUUGUAAAAUCAUAUAGAGACAGUUGACAGUGGCACCUCUGCCUCACCUCUGCAGCUCGAAUACCUUUUCAUCUACUGCCACUUAAAUGGAGGCUUUUUGGAUUUCUAACCCUCCCCUGCCUGUCUUCAGAACACCUUUGCUUAAAGAAAUGGUCUAAGUCCAAUGGGUUCAUAUUUUCUAUCACAUUACCUCAGCCACUAACUUCUCUCUGAGUGAAAUUGCUGGCUAGAAGUAAAGUCAGGAAUUCAGGCCAGUAGCACUGACAUCCCACAUCAUAAAAUGGUUCAUCAAGAGAAGACUACUGUGAGAGGGUGGGAGAUGGGAUGUGUUUAUUACUUGAUAAAACUGCAGGCAUUUAAAAAAUUAAUUUAUCAUUCAUUUUACUUGCAUUGGGUUUACAGUCCUGGAAAAGUGUCAUUGUCACAGAGGUUACAGGUAGGGCUGGCUCCUAUGCCUCAAAGGCUCUAGAAACCCACCAUCUCUCUCAAUGAUGUUAGGACCAUUUAUUCAGCCAUCUCCUAUUUUGGGGGAAAACAAAACAAAACACAUCAGGAUGCAGAACCAGGAAAAAAAAAAAAAAAAAGUCCUUUUUAUGUGUUGAUAACUACAAGUCUGACACAGCAGGCUCAGCAGGGACUAGCAACUGAAGGGGCCUGAUCUGACCUAAGCAGAAAACGUAAAGUAACUUUUCAGCUAAUGAAUUUGAUACAGCUAAAUAUUGGAAAUAAAGACCACCACUCCAAGCAAAAAGUUCCCUGUAGAACUGUAGUAACAUUAUUAUAUAAGCCAACAGAAAUAUUCAGUCUUCUUUUCUUAAUCAGUUACCAGCCAAUGAA
Long non-coding RNA from Hirundo rustica (Barn swallow), 4195 nucleotides. RefSeq lists it as uncharacterized. The record is from RefSeq and is a predicted model, not a curated record. Lineage: Eukaryota; Metazoa; Chordata; Aves; Passeriformes; Hirundinidae. The transcript has 4 exons.